This 373-nucleotide unclassified non-coding RNA is filed under the name soil metagenome. RNAcentral's name for it is "partial contains 5.8S ribosomal RNA, internal transcribed spacer 2, and large subunit ribosomal RNA". The stretch from base 1 to 121 matches the Rfam family "5.8S ribosomal RNA", at positions 35 to 154 of the family's 154-position model. The record is from RNAcentral.
GAUGAAGAACGUAUCGAAAUGCGAUAAGUAAUGCGAAUUGCAGAAUUCCAGUGAGUCAUCGAAUCUUUGAACGCACAUUGCGCCCUUUGGUAUUCCGAAGGGCAUGCCUGUUCGAGCGUCAUUAUCACCCCUCAAGCCCUCGGCUUGGUGUUGGACGGUUUGGUGGAGGCCCCCUCGGGGGCUCCUGCCCCUCCCAAAGACAAUGACGGCGGCCUCGUUGGACCCCCGGUACACUGAGUUCUUCACGGGACACGUAUCGGACACAUGGGUUUACGGGACACGGUCUGCCUCCCCUCAGGGAGAAUCUUUCUAAGGUUGACCUCGGAUCAGGUAGGGAUACCCGCUGAACUUAAGCAUAUCAAUAAGCGGAGGA